This 484-nucleotide ribosomal RNA is filed under the name uncultured bacterium. RNAcentral describes it as "partial 16S ribosomal RNA". It matches the Rfam family "Bacterial small subunit ribosomal RNA", at positions 30 to 507 of the family's 1533-position model. The record is from RNAcentral.
AUUGAACGCUGGCGGCAGGCCUAACACAUGCAAGUCGAGCGGAUGAAGGGAGCUUGCUCCUGGAUUCAGCGGCGGACGGGUGAGUAAUGCCUAGGAAUCUGCCUGGUAGUGGGGGAUAACGUCCGGAAACGGGCGCUAAUACCGCAUACGUCCUGAGGGAGAAAGUGGGGGAGCUUCGGACCUCACGCUAUCAGAUGAGCCUAGGUCGGAUUAGCUAGUUGGUGGGGUAAAGGCCUACCAAGGCGACGAUCCGUAACUGGUCUGAGAGGAUGAUCAGUCACACUGGAACUGAGACACGGUCCAGACUCCUGCGGGAGGCAGCAGUGGGGAAUAUUGGACAAAGGGCGAAAGCCUGAUCCAGCCAUGCCGCGUGUGUGAAGAAGGUCUUCGGAUUGUAAAGCACUUUAAGUUGGGAGGAAGGGCAGUAAGUUAAUACCUUGCUGUUUUGACGUUACCAACAGAAUAAGCACCGGCUAACUUCGUG